Long non-coding RNA from Dreissena polymorpha, 180 nucleotides. RefSeq lists it as uncharacterized. NCBI's taxonomy places the organism in Eukaryota, Metazoa, Mollusca, Bivalvia, Myida, Dreissenidae. The transcript has 3 exons. The record is from RefSeq and is a predicted model, not a curated record.
AGACGCACAACAUCAACCAUGUGUGAAUGAUGAGAUCUCAUCCAUCACAUCAGUUGAACAAAAGUUGGAAAUCCGCGAAACAGCGCAUGUGAGGCCCAGUCAUUUGAGCCGGUAAGAAAAAAAAGAUAUAGUGUUCCACUUCAUUGUUCCCUAGCUGUAGAGUUGUUGGAGAAAACCCUG